Molecule: long non-coding RNA, 2031 nt
Filed under: Linum usitatissimum (flax)
Lineage: Eukaryota; Viridiplantae; Streptophyta; Magnoliopsida; Malpighiales; Linaceae
Description: long non-coding RNA (LUSI_LNC005152)
Source: RNAcentral
UUCAUUGGAUCAUGCUAAAUUUCAUCUAAUGGCUAUUAUUAUUAAUAUGAAAUAAAUGGCCUAACAUCACCUCCUAUCAACCCUAGCAUUUUCCAUCAGCCGCUUUUCCAAAAUCCCACCCUUCUUCAACGCGAGGCAAGAACAACAUCAUUGUCCCGACAGUCGCUCAUCUUUCUGGGUCGUUUUUUGUUAUUAACAAUUUUUUGUUAUCGGCGACGAGUUAUCCGAUCGGUGUUUUUUGUUAUUAACAAUUUUUCAGGUUUGUGAAAUGAAUUAGUUCUUGAAUACUGACCUAAUUUUUUAUCGGUGACAGGUUGCGGUGGCGAACAGGUGCAAUGGAGGCCGACAAACCCUUCAGUACAGGUUGCGACCGCGACGACGAAAGCAUUCCGUCUUGGCACUCGUUUUUUGUAAUCAAUCGAACUAGUUCCUGAUUGGCGACCUAAUUUUGUGGCGGUGACAGGUUGGAAUGGCGGUAGCCAACGGCAACAGAUUUUCCGAUUCUCUAUUAUCGAAAGGUGGGGUGAGGUCGUAUGUACUUGGUUCAAUGUCAUUGUCAUUGCAUUGUCGAAUCACCAAACUAGUUCGUGUUUUGUUGGGGUUCUCUCUACGAUUGAUUAGUACGAUAGCGAGUUGGAAUGUUGUUCAGAUUUAGGGGAUGUUGACCGGGAACUGGCUCAUCCGAGUUUGAUAUUCUUGCAAUUUUAGUUCAUCGUAUUCCACUCGUUUAAGUAAUCCACCAUUUUUGUCAUGUGUGUGGUCUGCUAGCUCACCCUUUUGCUAGUUGUUUUUUGGUGUCCAUUUUAUUCACCUUUUGCUAGUUGUUUUUUAUGUAAGGUUAACCGUACCCCCUGUUUGGAGUUGCCUAAAUUUGUGCCUACUUGUAUAGUCUACUAGUUCACCCUUUUACUAGAUUUUUGUAUCCAAUCGUACUAAUUUUGCUGCAUCUCCAAUAUAGUGUAUGAUUAAACUAGUUCAAUUUGAUUGUUACUGAUGCAUCUCCAAUUGAUUGUUUGUGAUGUAUUUCUUGGAUUACAACUCAUCACUGUUUUCAUUUUUAUUCGAAUUCCUUGUUGUGCUAUGGGGCUCUUUUUUUACCAAAUUUUCUGGGCAUAUGGUGUACUAGUUCAAGUGGUUUGCAAAUUGUUUGCAUAGGUGUACUAAUUCCAAUGUGUUGUGAACCGGUUCGGUUGGAUGCAUUUGCUAUUGUUAUUUACUUGAACAAAUAUACCUUGGAAUGUAUUUGUUUGACUGAUUGAAUUUGCUGGUAGAAAUUUUUGGAUGAAAUGCAUUGUUUAAUAGUUUAGUCAUGAUGCUCAAUUUAUUAUUUUUAUAGUACUCAUUUAUGUGAUAUUUCAUGUAUAAUUACACUGUAGUAGGAAAAAAGUUUAUGAUAUUUUAUGUGUUUUAAACUUUUAUCUCAAUUUAGUGUCUCAGACCCAGUCGGGGUCCAUUUUAGGUCAUUUUGGAAUGGUUUUAAUAGAUUUCAGGUACACAAUGACAUCAAGGCACUAAUUGAAGCAAUACAAUGUAUGUGGAUGGUUUAGGACAACCAAUGAGAAGCAUUUUGACAUGUUCAAGGACCUUGAAUCUCGAUUUGGUCGGAAAACGUCGCAAUUUCGUUUUGAACAUAUCUUCUACCUCAGAAGUCCGAUUGAUGCAAGGGAGACGACAUUGGAAAGCUCAUUCAGUUUCCUACAAAUUUGAUCAGAGAGUUAUGUCAAUAUUUUCGCUUCCGGUCAAACUUGGCACUAUGUUCAAAGUGCCAUGUUUGACAUUUUCAUAGAGCCAACUUGACAAUUCAUUAAGGAAAUUUGGUCAAUUUAGCUAUAAUAACUUGUCAAACAUUGGGCUAUGACCAUAGCGUAAAUAUUGACAUUUUCAUAGAGCCAAUAUUGACAAUCCGAAAUUUAAAGGCUUUUUGGAAUUUCUAUUUAAAGCCGGUUCUCCUUCAUUCAAAGAGACCAUUUUCGACGAAAUUCAGAGGAUAGUUGAGAGACUUCGGAGCGACGAGAAUAAAUCGACUUCAAG